CCUACGGGAGGCAGCAGUGGGGAAUAUUCGGCAAUGGGCGCAAGUCUGACCCAGCAACGCCGCGUGAAUGAAGAAGGCUUUCGGGUUGUAAACUUCUUUUAAGAGGGAAGAGCAGAAGACGGUACCUCUUGAAUAAGCAACGGCUAAAUCCGUGCCAGCAGCCGCGGCAAUCUGUAGGUGGCCAGCGGUGUCCGGAUUUACUGGGUGGACAGGGCCUGCAGCCGGGAAGACCAGUCAGAUGUGAAAUCCCUGGGCCCAACCCCGGAACUGCAUUUGAAACUGUUUUUCUUGAGUACCGGAGAGGUCAGCGGAAUUCCUUGUGUAGCGGUGAAAUGCGUAGAUAUAAGGAAGAACACCAGUGGCGAAGGCGGAUGACUGGACGGCAACUGACGGUGAGGCGCGAAAGCGUGGGGAGCAAACAGGAUUAGAUACCCGUGUAGUC
This 442-nucleotide ribosomal RNA is filed under the name uncultured bacterium. RNAcentral describes it as "partial 16S ribosomal RNA". It matches the Rfam family "Bacterial small subunit ribosomal RNA", at positions 338 to 795 of the family's 1533-position model. The record is from RNAcentral.